This is an RNA transcript of Juglans regia (Persian walnut), 1331 nucleotides long. RefSeq lists it as uncharacterized. NCBI's taxonomy places the organism in Eukaryota, Viridiplantae, Streptophyta, Magnoliopsida, Fagales, Juglandaceae. The transcript is spliced from 4 exons. The record is from RefSeq and is a predicted model, not a curated record.
UACAAAAAAACAAGACAACUCGAUUUGUGUUUGACUUUUGCCACUAGUUGCAGCCGCUUGCACCAUUCUACUGAUCUCUUUACUCCCUCUGUACCGUGAGAGAGAGGGCUCGGAGAGGGAAAGAAUGGAAGAGGAGCAAUUGGACUAUGUUCUGGUACCUUUGGGUCUAUUGUUGUUCGGAUUAUACCAUCUCUGGCUUAUCUUUACCAUCCUCCACUUUCCCAAACGAACCGUCAUAGGCAUCAAUGCUGAGUCUCGCCACCAUUGGGUCUUCUCCGUGAUGACUGAUCCCGUAAAGAAUGGUGUUUUGGCAGUUCAAACAAUUCGCAACAACAUAAUGGCAUCUACAUUGUUAGCGACAACAGCAAUUACUCUCAGUUCACUAAUCAGUGUUUAUGUCAGUAGCACAUCAAAGUCUAGCAACACACCUUCACAACUGGUUUAUGGCAAUAAGACUUCUAUGAUCUCUUCAAUCAAGUACUUUUGUAUCUUGCUUUGUUUCCUUCUUGCAUUCCUUUUCAAUGUGCAGUCUAUUAGAUACUAUGCCCAUGUUAGCUUCUUGGCUACCACACCUGCUUGGAGUGAGAAUAAAGAGUCUAUUGAGUACAUCGUGAGAAAUUUGAAUCGCGGAAGCCUCUUUUGGUCCCUUGGAUUGCGAGCAUUCUACCUUUCAUUCCCACUGUUCCUCUGGAUAUUUGGUCCCAUACCCAUGUUUGCUUGUUGUUGCUUACUGUCACUUCUUCUAUAUUUCUUGGACACCACUACCAGUUUUACACGGAAUCUUCACUGUCAUUCACUUAAACAAGUUACCAAGAGCAACGACAUGGUUUCAGCUGUUUAAUCAUUGGCUAAAAGGAAUGCAUCUUACAAUAUAUCGACACGGACAAAAAGUAUUUUGGAACUAUGAACUAUGGAAUGCUAUGCUUUUUUUAGUGCAUGGAUGCAAUUAAAGUACAAGCUCAGAAAAUUUCAUGUGUAGUAAUGCAGAAGAAACAUUGUAGGCGAAAUUGAAGUGUGUUCGAGGUCAUCUCUUCAAGUAUGCAUAGCCAUUGAUGAACUCUAGAGUGCCUUAAGUUUUAUGCUUUGCUGAAAAUGCUAUCUUGAUGUUCUGCUUUGUAUUUUGUUUCUAGUCCUUUCUCAAAAUCUCAAUCACAUUAUUCAGCAGCUUCUAUUCUGAAGGUUCAUUCAUUACAACAGAUGUGAGAGCGCCAUGUUAUUCUUGCCCAUGUUAUAGCGCCAUCUAGCAAACGACCUAUAUGCUUUAUUUCAUGUCAUGCAUUGCUUUUCGUCUCCUCUGGACCAUAAAUAAUUUGAGAAAAGAUAUUUGUAAC